UACGGGGGGGGCAAGCGUUGUUCGGAAUUACUGGGCGUAAAGGGCUCGUAGGCGGCCAACUAAGUCAGACGUGAAAUCCCUCGGCUUAACCGGGGAACUGCAUCUGAUACUGGAUGGCUUGAGUUCGGAAGAGGGAUGCGGAAUUCCAGGUGUAGCGGUGAAAUGCGUAGAUAUCGGGAGGAACACCUGUGGCGAAGGCGGCCCCCUGGUUGGAUACUGACGCUGAGACGCGAAAGCGUGGGGAGCAAACAGG
RNAcentral lists this ribosomal RNA (253 nucleotides) under uncultured bacterium. Its description in RNAcentral is "partial 16S ribosomal RNA". It matches the Rfam family "Bacterial small subunit ribosomal RNA", at positions 524 to 776 of the family's 1533-position model. The record is from RNAcentral.